GUGCCAGCAGCCGCGGUAAUACAGAGGGUGCGAGCGUUAAUCGGAUUUACUGGGCGUAAAGCGCAUGCAGGUGGUUUGUUAAGUCAGAUGUGAAAGCCCGGGGCUCAACCUCGGAAUUGCAUUUGAAACUGGUAGGCUAGAGUACUGUAGAGGGGGGUAGAAUUUCAGGUGUAGCGGUGAAAUGCGUAGAGAUCUGAAGGAAUACCGGUGGCGAAGGCGGCCCCCUGGACAGAUACUGACACUCAGAUGCGAAAGCGUGGGGAGCAAACAGGAUUAGAUACCCCCGUAGUCC
Molecule: ribosomal RNA, 292 nt
Filed under: uncultured prokaryote
Description: partial 16S ribosomal RNA
Rfam family: Bacterial small subunit ribosomal RNA
Source: RNAcentral